This is a long non-coding RNA of Scylla paramamosain (green mud crab), 916 nucleotides long. RefSeq lists it as uncharacterized. The record is from RefSeq and is a predicted model, not a curated record. The transcript has 4 exons. Lineage: Eukaryota; Metazoa; Arthropoda; Malacostraca; Decapoda; Portunidae.
AGUCGCCACCUCUUCUACCGCCUGCGCCUGUCAACCACGCGCCAUUCCUGUCUCAUCGGCCUUAUCUCCCCGUGGCCACACUCGUCACCACUGCCGCACCUGCUCAUCAUGCCCGUUCCUAUUCUGCGCCGCCCUGCUUCAUUCUGAGGUGUGGGUGCCCUUUGGCUCCUUCCCGACCCAUCCCACCCACCAACCUCUCCCAUCUGGGUACUUACGUUCACACCUCAUUGAGCUCUCUGCUUGGGCCAUUGUCUGGUCAUCUUCCCAGACAAUUGCCACCCAUUCACUGCUACCGCUCUCACCGCUGUCUCACUUGCUCCACUGACAUCUGCCUCCCUGCCAGUUCCUGCCCAAGGAGAUCUCUCCCUGUCUCCACCCUGAGUCCUUCCAACUGUGGUCUUCCCAGUCAUCAGGUUGUGACAUCACACCAAAACGAAUAUCAUCUCUCCCUGAUGAACUUUUGGGCCACACAGAUGUCAUCACCUACUCUCUUCACCCAAUGCCUGGGUCCAAGCCAUCUUACAUCCCCAGUUAUAGGGUGCCACACAGCCAACAAGUUUGCUUGAUGAAGCUGUACAAGAAAAUCCUUUUGUGUACUGAUAAACAGCAGUGUGGUUCCUAUGAUGCUGUUGAAAGAAAGAAAAAAAAUGUCAGUCCCUUCCAGAAGUACUACAUUUGUUGAAAAGUAGUACUACAUUUGUUGAAAAGUCCCUUCCAGAAGUACAACAUUUGUUGAAAAGCAGUAUCAAGUUAUUGAUGGAAGGAAAGUGGAAGUAAGCUCAAGUUGGCAGGGACAUGAACAACACAUAAAUAAAAUACAUACCUGGUUUUACGAAGCUCAGGGAUGCCCUGAUGGAGGUAUGACCACUGCUGGCAAAAAAUAGGACCUAACUUGGGCAUGAAGUCUUGCAACCUC